AUUGAACGCUGGCGGCAGGCCUAACACAUGCAAGUCGAACGGCAGCACGGGAGCAAUCCUGGUGGCGAGUGGCGAACGGGUGAGUAAUAUAUCGGAACGUGCCCAGUCGUGGGGAUAACGUAGCGAAAGCUACGCUAAUACCGCAUACGAUCUAUGGAUGAAAGCGGGGGAUCGCAAGACCUCGCGCGAUUGGAGCGGCCGAUAUCAGAUUAGGUAGUUGGUGAGGUAAAGGCUCACCAAGCCGACGAUCUGUAGCUGGUCUGAGAGGACGACCAGCCACACUGGGACUGAGACACGGCCCAGACUCCUACGGGAGGCAGCAGUGGGGAAUUUUGGACAAUGGGCGCAAGCCUGAUCCAGCAAUACCGCGUGCAGGAUGAAGGCCU
This 386-nucleotide ribosomal RNA is filed under the name uncultured bacterium. RNAcentral's name for it is "bacterial SSU rRNA". It matches the Rfam family "Bacterial small subunit ribosomal RNA", at positions 29 to 417 of the family's 1533-position model. The record is from RNAcentral.